RNAcentral lists this transfer RNA (109 nucleotides) under Pedobacter sp. Its description in RNAcentral is "tRNA-Asp". It matches the Rfam family "tRNA". Rfam says of the family: Transfer RNA (tRNA) molecules are approximately 80 nucleotides in length. Their secondary structure includes four short double-helical elements and three loops (D, anti-codon, and T loops). The record is from RNAcentral. Lineage: Bacteria; Pseudomonadati; Bacteroidota; Sphingobacteriia; Sphingobacteriales; Sphingobacteriaceae. RNAcentral also lists the same sequence under 1 other name.
UGUAGGGUGGUGAAACUGGCAGACACACCUCCUUGUCUCGGUGGCGGAGAAUCUGGGAAUCCGGUAACGGGAUAACCACUCCUUGGAGGUUCGAUUCCUUCCCCUACAG